CAGAGGGGGCAAGCGUUGUUCGGAAUUACUGGGCGUAAAGGGCGCGUAGGCGGCCUGUUAAGUCGAACGUGAAAUCCCCGGGCUCAACCCGGGAACUGCGUCCGAAACUGGCAGGCUCGAAUCCGGGAGAGGGAUGCGGAAUUCCAGGUGUAGCGGUGAAAUGCGUAGAUAUCUGGAGGAACAUCGGUGGCGAAGGCGGCAUCCUGGACCGGUAUUGACGCUGAGGCGCGAAAGCCUGGGGAGCAAACGGGAUUAGAUACCCCGGUAGUCCUGGCCCUAAACGAUGAAUGCUUGGUGUGGCGGGUAUCGAUCCCUGCCGUGCCGAAGCUAACGCAUUAAGCAUUCCGCCCGGGGAGUACGGUCGCAAGGCUG
This 372-nucleotide ribosomal RNA is filed under the name uncultured organism. Its description in RNAcentral is "bacterial SSU rRNA". It matches the Rfam family "Bacterial small subunit ribosomal RNA", at positions 526 to 896 of the family's 1533-position model. The record is from RNAcentral.